Molecule: ribosomal RNA, 51 nt
Filed under: Cytospora schulzeri
Lineage: Eukaryota; Fungi; Ascomycota; Sordariomycetes; Diaporthales; Cytosporaceae
Description: partial 28S ribosomal RNA
Source: RNAcentral
CUCGGAUCAGGUAGGAAUACCCGCUGAACUUAAGCAUAUCAAUAAGGCGGA